This 453-nucleotide long non-coding RNA is filed under the name Citrus maxima (pomelo). RNAcentral describes it as "long non-coding RNA (CMAX_LNC004308)". Lineage: Eukaryota; Viridiplantae; Streptophyta; Magnoliopsida; Sapindales; Rutaceae. The record is from RNAcentral.
UCACAUAGUACUUUUGAUCGAAAAAUCAAUCCGAUCUAUUUCGUACCCUUCGCUCAACGAGAAAAUGGAUCAGAUUCUAUAGGAUCAACCCUAUGGGACUUAAGGAAUGAUGGAAGGGAAUAAAAUAAAAUAAAAAAAAAAAAAAAGAAAUAAAAAAAGAAAAGCGAGGGAAAAAAAUAAUAAAGAAAUAAGUAAAUAAAAAUGAAGUAGAAGAACCCAGAUUCCAAAUGAACAAAUUGAAACUGGAAAAGGAUCUUUCUGAUUCUCGAAGAAUGAGGGGCAAGGGGAUUGAUCGAGAAAGAUCUCUUGUUCUUAUUAUAAGUUAUAAGAUCGUGUGAUUGGAUCCGCAGAUGUUUGGUAAAAGAAUAAUCUUCUCCUUUGAGAAUAAUCAAAAAUGGAAAGUGUUCAAUUGGAACAUGAAAACGUGACUGAAUUGGUCCUAGUUACUCUUGG